AUUCAAUUUUUGGCUUUCUUUCUUACUUUCUUGUUAUGGGGCAUUACUGAUGAGUUGAUAAAAAAUUGUUAUCCUUACAUUUUUAUUUGUAGUGAAGAACAUCAUGGGAAUUUAUUACUUUAAAGAUGCUCUUAAUUUAGUUUUUAAUCAUCAUUAUUAUUUUUAUUUUGAAUUUUUUUGGUUAUGUUUUUAAACUGAGCAGAUCAUGG
This 209-nucleotide unclassified non-coding RNA is filed under the name Hevea brasiliensis (rubber tree). The stretch from base 38 to 131 matches the Rfam family "Small nucleolar RNA snoR26". Lineage: Eukaryota; Viridiplantae; Streptophyta; Magnoliopsida; Malpighiales; Euphorbiaceae. The record is from RNAcentral.